GAUGAACGCUGGCGGCGUGCCUAAUACAUGCAAGUCGAGCGAACAGAUGAGGAGCUUGCUCCUCUGACGUUAGCGGCGGACGGGUGAGUAACACGUGGAUAACCUACCUAUAAGACUGGGAUAACUUCGGGAAACCGGAGCUAAUACCGGAUAAUAUAUUGAACCGCAUGGUUCAAUAGUGAAAGACGGUUUUGCUGUCACUUAUAGAUGGAUCCGCGCCGCAUUAGCUAGUUGGUAAGGUAACGGCUUACCAAGGCAACGAUGCGUAGCCGACCUGAGAGGGUGAUCGGCCACACUGGAACUGAGACACGGUCCAGACUCCUACGGGAGGCAGCAGUAGGGAAUCUUCCGCAAUGGGCGAAAGCCUGACGGAGCAACGCCGCGUGAGUGAUGAAGGUCUUCGGAUCGUAAAACUCUGUUAUUAGGGAAGAACAAAUGUGUAAGUAACUAUGCACGUCUUGACGGUACCUAACCAGAAAGCCACGGCUGACUACGUG
Molecule: ribosomal RNA, 497 nt
Filed under: uncultured bacterium
Lineage: Bacteria
Description: partial 16S ribosomal RNA
Rfam family: Bacterial small subunit ribosomal RNA
Source: RNAcentral